GUGCUUGCACUUUAUCAUUCUUAGCGGCGGACGGGUGAGUAACGCGUGGAUAAUCUGCCCUUGACAUUGGAAUAACAUUCAGAAAUGGAUGCUAAAACCGAAUAAGCUUACGCAACCGCAUGGUAGAGUAAGAAAAUAUUAAUAGGUCAAGGAGGAGUCCGCGUCUGAUUAGCUAGUUGGAGAGGUAAGAGCUCACCAAGGCGACGAUCAGUAGCCGACCUGAGAGGGUGAUCGGCCACAUUGGGACUGAGACACGGCCCAAACUCCUACGGGAGGCAGCAGUGGGGAAUAUUGCACAAUGGGGGAAACCCUGAUGCAGCAACGCCGCGUGAAGGAAGAAGGUUUUCGGAUCGUAAACUUCUAUCGACGGGGAAGAAAAAAAUGACGGUACCCGAAUAAGAAGCCCCGGCUAACUACGUGCCAGCAGCCGCGGUAAUACGUAGGGGGCAAGCGUUAUCCGGAAUCACUGGGUGUAAAGGGUGAGUAGGCGGUUUAAUAAGUCAUGUGUGAAAGCCCCAUGCUUAACAUGGGGACUGCACAAGAAACUGUAAGACUAGAGUACAGGAGAGGUAAGUGGAAUUCCUAGUGUAGCGGUGAAAUGCGUAGAUAUUA
RNAcentral lists this ribosomal RNA (612 nucleotides) under uncultured bacterium. RNAcentral's name for it is "bacterial SSU rRNA". It matches the Rfam family "Bacterial small subunit ribosomal RNA", at positions 76 to 699 of the family's 1533-position model. The record is from RNAcentral.